CAUAGGAAAUCCUAGUAACAAAACAAUUUUGACACAUUAAGAAAAAACAACAAUAUAGAAUCAAGUUUUGCUGAAGUAAAAUGUUGCCUUUCUAGACCUUUAAGAGCGUGGUAUAAUUAAGCAGCAUAAAUUCUGGAGUGAGACUAAUUCCCAGUUCUCAGUUUAAGUCAUUUAACGUCUCUGAUCCUAAAUUACUUUAUUUAAAGUGAGCAUAAAUCCCAGUUUCAUUGGGAAAUUCUCAGUUUAUGCUUGUCAUUCCACCAAUGUAUUAAUGAUCACUUUUAAUGCCCUAUAUGUCUUAAUCUAGAUGACAAAUUAUAUAAUUACCUUACUUCUUAAUAGAAUGAGAACAAUACAUCUCAUCUUACCAGCUCACCAUGAGCAUUACAUGGGGAAAUAUAUCUAAAAUGUCUCACAGGGUUCUAGGCAGAG
Molecule: long non-coding RNA, 432 nt
Filed under: Pan troglodytes (chimpanzee)
Lineage: Eukaryota; Metazoa; Chordata; Mammalia; Primates; Hominidae
Description: long non-coding RNA NONPTRT003823
Source: RNAcentral